CAGAAAAAUAGAGAAAGCAGAGAGCGAGCGAGCUAACUUUCCGUGCAAGAAACAAAGUUACUUAAAAUAGAAAAAAAGCAGAGGGCUAAGCUUUGUCUUCACUCCUCAUACGUCUACAAAAGCUUCUUUCUCUUCAUCUUUCUGAGUAAGUUCGCAGUUUGCUCAUCCAUCCUUACGCUAACGACGACGAUCCUUGUAUGUUAAAGCUCCUUUCUCUCUUUAUCUUUCCGAGUAAGUUCGCAGCUUGCUCUUCCAUCUUUACGCUAACGACGACGAUCCUCGUCUGCAGAAGCAUCUUUAUCCGAUCCUUUAUCUAUCCGAGUAAGAUCGCAGAUUGCUACGUCUUUCAUCCUUACGCUAACGACUAGCUAGGAUCAUACGCAAAAAGGAUCUUUAUGUGGCUUUAUUUGAUAACAUGAGUUCUUCUUCGGGUAGCAACAUCGUUGGGGAUGCAGAAGCUGUUCCUGCAGCUAAUGAUGGCGGUGGUGGCGGAGUCAACAUUCGGCUAUAUGAAGGCCACGAGACAGGGAGAUCAGUACAGUCUCGUUCAUUACCAUCAUUGUCUAAUCGACCGCCUGAACAACAAGUAAACGAUAACCACUUUGGGAGAAGAAAAUCAAAUCACAGCUUCUUGAUUUUUUUCUUUUAGUUAUCUUUUUAAUAAUUUCUUCGAUCCUCCUCUCUCUCUCUUGGGAUCAAUUAGUACUUAAAAAAAAUAAAAAUAAAUUACUACUUUUCUUUUUCUUGUCUGACGAUUACUUUGUCAAUAUGCUUAUUUAUAUUCUGGUGUGUUGUAAUACGUCAAAAAGAAGAAAUUUGUGAGUCGAUGAUGACCUCAUCCCACUUGUUUUGUACGCUAGUAUCUCUUUGUCCUCCACCCACAAUGUGUAUAAGAUGUUGUAGCAUGUAAGAUGUAGGGGACCUUCAUGUUAUUUAUCUCGGUGUUCGAAAUUGGCGUGUGAGAGAAAUAAAAAAAGUGGUUUAAAAUAAUAUUCUUCUUCUUCCCUAGAGUCGUUAAGUCACCCAAGUUUUGUUUUUGUCUCUCUCAUUGACUUGACUCAUUGUUUAAGGAAACCACAAAACCCAAAAACGAAGUCACCAUUAUCAUUACCAAAGUACCAAACUCCACCAAAUAAACAAACCAAACUCUAAACCAAAAAACC
Non-coding RNA from Camelina sativa (false flax), 1163 nucleotides. NCBI's taxonomy places the organism in Eukaryota, Viridiplantae, Streptophyta, Magnoliopsida, Brassicales, Brassicaceae. The record is from RefSeq and is a predicted model, not a curated record.